This is a non-coding RNA of Pelobates cultripes (western spadefoot toad), 3197 nucleotides long. Lineage: Eukaryota; Metazoa; Chordata; Amphibia; Anura; Pelobatidae. The record is from the annotation of a GenBank genome assembly.
GAUACCUGGGUUUCCUGGUGUGAGCAGGGAUUUAACUCUGCUUACACCACAAUCUAGAUAUAGGCAUUUAAAUGCCUAUUUAAGCAGAUACAUGCUGCGCUGACUUCCAGCACUGCAUGUAGCUCAUCAAAAAGGCUGGAGUCACUAAAAAUGUCCUCGGCUGAUAGAGGGGAGCCCCAGGUUUCCAUUGAUACCUGGACCUCCCUUGUGUGAACAGGGAUUUAACCCUGAUCACACCGAAUUGUAAUAGUGGGGAUUUAAAUCCCCAUUUAAAUGCUUGUUUGCAGUGCUCACUUAGAGCUCUGCAAACAGAGCAUCGGUCAGUCUGGGGCCACUAAUUCUGGCCCCAGAUGAGUCAUAGUUACCAGCAAGGUAAUAAACCCUGCUGGAAAAAUACUGCAUGACGGAAAUUUUCCGUCAUGUGUCCUUAAGGGUAGGACCAGCAUGACGUAAAAUUUCCGUCAUGCGUCCUUAAGGGUAGGACCAGCAUGACGUAAAAUUUCCGUCAUGCGUCCUUAAGGGGUUAAAGGCCAGCCUUUGUUUCUCUUAGAGGGCAUAUCUAAUUUGUAUACAUUUAAUUUUAACACCUGGCCAUUUGUUAAAGGGAAACUCAUUAAAGUGGUCUGGGUGCAGUGUCACUGUCCCACUUAGUCCUGCAAUGUAAAAAAAUUAGAGAAACUACAAUAAUUACCUUGCAGCACUAAGACUGCCUUUAGUGGCUGGCAAGCACAAGGACAUCAGUCAGUGAAAUCCCCAUAGGAAAGCUUUCCUAUGGGGAGUGCCUAAGUCGCUCACCGUGCAUGUGUAAUAGCCCCUGCCACCUGUCAGCUGACAUUGGAUGAAGCGAGGCACUGACCCAGCGCCGACAUUGGUGCUUGAAUUGGGUUAGUAUACAAGAUAUAUAGAUAUCUUUUGCAUGUUGGGGGGGACCAGAGGGCAUUAUAGUGUUAGGAAUAUGUAUUUUUAUUUGUAACACUGUAGAAACACCUAAUCUAAAAUAAGAUUCAAAUAUCACACAGAGAUACAAUUUUUUUUAAAUCUAUUUUUAGUAACAUUAAAUUAGUAGUUUUACAUCUCAAAUGUAUUUUUGUAUCUGUUGCAUGGUGGGUUUAAAAGAAGAUGAGACUGAUACUAGGAAUAAAAAAAAAAUGCAAACAAUCAUGUUUUAAAGUAUAUUUUUAUUUUGAUAUAUCAGAAUUUUGUGGCUCUGGAGAUUUUAUUUGAUAAACACUUUUUUUUCAUGCAGACUUGAAAUUAUUUAACUGACCACUCUAACUUUGUCGGCUUUUGGAAAGCUGUAAGCUCAGCAUAAACUUUGUGUCCUUAUAAACAUAAUUGAAUGUGGGUACUACUUAAAUAGCUAAACCAUAGAUUUGAUGUAACUUUUUCUUUACAUCUAAUAUUUGUGAAUCUUUUAUAGUAUAACAAACAUGCAAGGUUACAAUGUACUGUUUUAUACUGGUGCUUAUUGGAUAAUGAUGAAAAUGUAUUCAUACUUACCUUAAAGGACCACUAUAGUGCGCAUUCAGCCCGUCGCAUAGGAAAGCAUUUACAAUGCCUUCCUAUGGACGCUUGCGUACUCUCACUGUGAAAAUCACAGUGAGAAGCACGCAAGCGCCUCUAGCGGCUGUCAAUGAGACAGCCACUAGAGGAUUAGGGGGAAGGCUUAACCCAUUAAUAAACAUAGCAGUUUCUCUAAACCUGCUAUGUUUAUGAGAAAAUGGGUUAACCCUAGCUGGACCUGGCACCCAGACCACUUCAUUAAGCUGAAGUGGUCUGGGUGCCUAGAGUGGUCCUUUAAUUUAUUUUCCUGGCUUUCAUCCAAGGGGCACAUAUAUGGUUGUGUUAGCACAUCUCAGUAUAAAAGUCAAAAGAAAAAUGAACAAACUACUAAAAAAUAUACAACCCAGUCUUUUAGGGAUAUUCACUGAAGUGAGACUUGUUGGAAAUUUAGAAUUUAAAGCCCAAAUAACUGCAUUAGUAAAAUAUAUAUAUUUUUAAAAAGACCAAGAACAGAAUUACAGUAACUAUAAAUCAUAGAUAAUACCCUACUGAUGUACUGCUAAAUAUGGAAAAUACAAUGUGUACACAAAACAGGAUCUGAAAAAUUGAUAUUCGAUAACCUUGUUAGCUAAUGAUCCUGGAUAAUUAAAAGACACUGCAUCUAAGGGGUGUAAUGGGAUUCUAUAUAGAAGAAAUACGGGGUAACUGUCUCUGGAUCUCCUUUAUUACUCCACUCUGGCAGUUGGAUGGUUAAUAAGAAUAGCGACCAGUCAGAUGUGAACCUGCCCCACCCAAAAUAAUAAUUAUGGUGGUAGAUCUGUUUUUGCCUCCUCUACACGCUCACCCAUACGAUAUAUGGAACCCAACCAAUACAUUGCAUUGCUCUGACAGCUGUGCCUCAUUUUUGUAACACUUGUUUAAAUAUGUGUAUAGAUGUACAUCUACAUACAUUGAUAGACACAACUCUGAAGCAUGAUUUGGCCAUCAUAAUGCUUCCAAACCAACCAAUCACAACACUGUAACCGAAAGCUGUUUGCUUAUCCAUACUGGAAUGAUAGUACUCAGACCAAAUGUAUUCCUGGCAUCAGCGGUGCAGGCACUUAAGUUCCACACUUGAGCAAUAAACACAGUAAAAUAGCCACAUGAUAUACAAUACCUUUUUCAACCAGAAGUUCCAAGAAAAUAUUGGCCCUUCACCUCUACCAAUGACACACAGAUAAACACGUUACAAAUACACAUGUAAAUAAAGAAAUUACAUAUUUUUAGUGAACCCAGAGUUUAUCUUUUGGGUUUAGGAGGGUGGCUUUGCUAGGGUUCAGUGGCACUGGGCAGCUGCAGGUGACAGUAGGUUAAGACUGUAUGUGGCUAAUAGGUCCAGGCUCCAUCUCCCCAUCUCUUCUCUCUGCUUCAUACAUCAGGAGAAAUUGUAAUUACACUUUUUGUAAUGUACAUGUAAUUACAUCCUUCUGGAGCUGUUUGUUUUACAGGUAUACUCAUCUUCGAGGGGUGCAACGGACAGCUGCUAUUGGCCCCUGUAAAGUAUGGGGCCCAAGGCAGUUACCCUUUUCACCCUGUGGUAAAGACGUCUCUGGUAUGAGAUUGUUACAGAUUUUGUAAUUUGAGGUAAAGGAAUGUGUGAACAGGUAGAAGCAGAAGAAACAAUGCUGGGAAAUAUGUCCACAGCAGAAAUCGUU